ACAGUACAAACUGAGCAGGCGAUGACCCAAACGGGGCGUGGGGCCGGGCCGCCGAAGCGGCAACAGAUGGCGAUUACAUCUGUGGGACAGU
Molecule: non-coding RNA, 91 nt
Filed under: chicken gut metagenome
Description: NiCo riboswitch
Rfam family: NiCo (Nickel/Cobalt) riboswitch aptamer
Source: RNAcentral